ACUGCACAGUGUUUGAGCUUGGAGUUGAGCCCCCAGCUGAUCGAUGUCCUCUCAAGUGUAGGUAGCUACAUGAGGGGCUAGUCCUUCACUAACACCACAAGGUCUCUGGCUCACUGAGUGGAGUCUGAUAGUAAUUCUUGCUACAAGA
Small nucleolar RNA from Ursus americanus (American black bear), 148 nucleotides. The record is from Ensembl. Lineage: Eukaryota; Metazoa; Chordata; Mammalia; Carnivora; Ursidae.